This 206-nucleotide ribosomal RNA is filed under the name uncultured bacterium. RNAcentral describes it as "partial 16S ribosomal RNA". It matches the Rfam family "Bacterial small subunit ribosomal RNA", at positions 1295 to 1500 of the family's 1533-position model. The record is from RNAcentral.
GGAUUGCAGCCUGCAACUCGGCUGCAUGAAGCCGGAAUCGCUAGUAAUCGCGGAUCAGAACGCCGCGGUGAAUACGUUCCCGGGUCUUGUACACACCGCCCGUCACACCAUGGGAGUUGGGAAUGCCCGAAGUCGGUGCCUAAACCGAGAGGAGAGAGCCGCCGAAGGCAGGCCCAGCGACUGGGGUGAAGUCGUAACAAGGUAUC